GCACGCGCCCCAGAGCUCCGCCUCCCUCCCCUGAUCGCAGGCCUGAGCGCCACUGUGCGCGUGCGCAGCGCCUCCAAAGUCGGAUUGCUAUGGUAUCUUCUGUCAUCCUGCUCUGGUGCCUUCUCUACCCAAUGAUGACCAUAUGGACCAGGUUCCCAAGUACGAGGAGUGCUAUUCAUCUGAAAACUACCCUUUGUUUGUGGAGGACUUAGAAUUUAGCUAGGAGUUAAGACUUUAAUAAUUAGAAAGUGAGAAGCCAUUGAAGGCAUUCGGACAGUGUCACGACAUGAACGGAACAUGCUUGGCAGUGUCAGUCUGACAGCUGUGUGUAAAUAACAGAACAGAAGAGGAAGCUGACACUCGAGGGAGCUGAAAGUGUCCAGUUGAAGAUAAACCCAUGGAGACAGUAUGCAAGUUAAUAAAGUACAGUGUCUGGCC
This 438-nucleotide long non-coding RNA is filed under the name Rattus norvegicus (Norway rat). Its description in RNAcentral is "long non-coding RNA NONRATT021254". Lineage: Eukaryota; Metazoa; Chordata; Mammalia; Rodentia; Muridae. The record is from RNAcentral.